ACGAGUGGCGGACGGGUGAGUAAUGUCUGGGAAACUGCCUGAUGGAGGGGGAUAACUACUGGAAACGGUAGCUAAUACCGCAUAACGUCGCAAGACCAAAGAGGGGGACCUUCGGGCCUCUUGCCAUCGGAUGUGCCCAGAUGGGAUUAGCUAGUAGGUGGGGUAACGGCUCACCUAGGCGACGAUCCCUAGCUGGUCUGAGAGGAUGACCAGCCACACUGGAACUGAGACACGGUCCAGACUCCUACGGGGGCAGCAUG
RNAcentral lists this ribosomal RNA (260 nucleotides) under uncultured bacterium. Its description in RNAcentral is "partial 16S ribosomal RNA". It matches the Rfam family "Bacterial small subunit ribosomal RNA", at positions 91 to 353 of the family's 1533-position model. The record is from RNAcentral.